AACCGUUGGGUUGGCUAGCUCUAAAAAGUCCUUCCCGUUACUUUCUUCUUGGCCUGCACCUAUCUUUUGAAUGCAAUGGAUAAAUUCAACCUUCAUGAUCGCCACAGAGAAGCUUGUCCUCAGAAAACUCAGAUCGAGUAUGAAUCUGAGUUCAGAUAAUACAAUAGAGAUUUAGUUAUCUAUUAAAAUAAGUUAAAGGCUGGACAAAAUAUAAACUGGCUGAAGGCGUAGAAUAUGUAACAGAUUUUUAUGAAUGUAUUGGUCAAGACUAAAAUUGGUCCAUAGACUGAUGAUGCUUGUACUUAAAGAGAACAUGAAAACUCACAGCCAAUAUGUUAUCAAUUUCAUUUUGUAUCCUCCAGUUCAAGAAAUCAAUCAGCUGAAACAUGAAGUAUGAUUGGUAGGAAUACUUGAAAUCCAUAAACUUGAUUCAAG
Molecule: long non-coding RNA, 435 nt
Filed under: Olea europaea (common olive)
Lineage: Eukaryota; Viridiplantae; Streptophyta; Magnoliopsida; Lamiales; Oleaceae
Description: long non-coding RNA (OEUR_LNC007900)
Source: RNAcentral